This 2196-nucleotide long non-coding RNA is filed under the name Theobroma cacao (cacao). RNAcentral describes it as "long non-coding RNA (TCAC_LNC005526)". The record is from RNAcentral. Lineage: Eukaryota; Viridiplantae; Streptophyta; Magnoliopsida; Malvales; Malvaceae.
CAAACCAAGAGCAAAGAAGAACAAAGGGAGAAAAGAAAAACAAAAACCUUAGGUGGAGAAAUUCAAGGAAAAAUUGGUGAAAAUUCAAGGAAACAAGUGACUAAAGGUAAAAUUUCUUGAUUUUAACUUGUGAUCUACCUUUCCCAUGCAUUUCUCCUCAUUUUCUAUGGUUAAAUUACAUAUUUUCAUGAUGAAUUCAUGGCUGGUUGGAAUAGGUAUGGAGAGAGAAUGAUAUUAGAUUGAUUUGAUUCUAAGUCAUGUUAGUGUUUUUAGUUAGUUAAGCAUGUUUAGAAACAAAACAACAAGAAAAGAAUCCAUUUUCCCAUGAACCUUCAAUGGUCGAACCCUAUGUGAAGUGUAGAAGUAAUGAAUUGAUUUUGUGAUCAAGUGAAUUGGUUGAAAAAUUGAUAAAAUGAUUAUUUAUGGUGAGAAAAUGAAAUGGGAAAAUUUUUAGUGAUAGUGCACCACAAUGGUCAAAAUUUUCAAGAAGAAUUGUAAGGGUUGUUAGGCUGAAUUUUAGAUUAUUGGAAUUGUAUUUAGUGAAUUGAAAUAUUAGAAAUGAAAUGGAGCAAUUUAGAGCCAAAUCAUACACAAUUGUCAUUUAAUCGAGUAAUAAGCUGAAUCAGGUCAGCACCACAUUUAAGCGGUAGUUGGAUAAGUUGCAUAUCAUAUCAUGCAUAUACACCGAGCCUGAAUUGAUUUUAUAAUGGUCAAGCAUUGAUGUGGUGAAUUAUAUAUUGUACAUUGUGGAUAAGUGGUGAGUAAAUUACACUGGUAAAAGUACAGAGAUUGUGCUUGGAGACUGGGAUUAAGAGUACAUCGACUCCUAGAACUAUGAGUAAACUUAUUAUCGUCUUAAUUAUCUAGAGUAGUUUUAUACAAUUGUGUGAUUUUAUGAAAAAUGGGUUUAAAUGGUAAAUUGCUAUGUUUUAGGAAAAAUUGUGAUUUUAUAAUAUGAUUUUAUAAAUUUUCUAGAAAAUUGAAUACUGGUUUUGAAAAUAGAGUAAUUAGAGACUGCCUGCUUGUGUUGUAAAUUUAUGGUUUUAAAUUGAAUGGCUUAUGACAAUAUAUGAGCAUGAAUGGCUAAACUGAUUUUUGGUGUUAGAAUUAUUUGUAUUGCGUAUUCAGCCUUGAGAGGCUAGGUUGCGAUAAAUUGCCAUGUCAUGAAAAAAAAGAUUUUAUAAAUCGGGUGGUAGAUAAAAUAAUCCAUAGUCACUGCCGUGGUGGGGGUUUCCGUGGACUGUCUAUGAGAGGGGCAUGGUAACCCAAUUAUAUAUUUACCUCCAAGGGGAGAUGUUGGAUAAAGUAUCUCUUGAGGUAAAUAUUUGAGUGCACUUCACGUGGACCACCGCGUGAAAGUGAGACUCAGCCAACGCCAAGGCAUGGCUAAAAUUUCAGAUGUAAAGACAUUUAACAGCCUUGACGGACUCGGUUGGGAUAACCCUCGAUCAAGGUAUCUUGAUAACUGAGUAUGAGAAUGAUUUUUGGCACGAGCCAAGUUUUUCAGAAAUCAUAAGCCUAUUUGUUUAUUUGGUUGAAAUGAGUUGAAAGGUAAUGAAAUUACAGUAUGAUGACUUAUUUUAAUUUGUCUCCAUUUAUUCAUCUUUAGAUAGUUUAGAUGGUGUCUGUUUACUCACUGGGAUUUUAUAAUCUCACCAUCCUCAUAUCCUCACAUUUCAGGCUCGGGGAAUUCCAUAGUUAGCGGACUUUGACAAGGACCUUCAUUUGGACUUGAAUCGGUAAAAGCUGUAAGUUUUCAGCUUCCGAUACAUUUUGGUUAGAUGUGGGCCCACGUGUCGCUGUAAAAGUAAUUUUAUACUUUGGUUAUUUGCUUUAUAGAAUAUAUGAAUAUAAUGAACUUUUACGUUAUAAGAAUUAUUUACCGAUAGCUUUAUAAAAAAUUAUUUUACAAGAAAAUAGUUAUUUUAUUGAAUAUUUUUAUUAUAUUCAAAUGGUCAAAUUUUCACUUCAAAUGAACGUUUUAGAUACUUAAUUUAUUUUUAAAUCACUAAAUAUAUAUUUUUUGCUUACCUACUAUAUUUUUAGCAAGUUUCGAGAUUUUCGACAAAAAAUGACGAAAUUGCCCCUGUGAGCCAGAAAACAAUAUGUUAUGUUCUAAUUUGGAAAUGACUCGUAAUCCUUCGAAUUACGAUAUUUGAUAACUAUUGCUCACCGUGGAAGUGCGAAAGCUGAUAC